Coccidioides immitis H538.4 is the source of this 86-nucleotide transfer RNA. It matches the Rfam family "tRNA". Rfam says of the family: Transfer RNA (tRNA) molecules are approximately 80 nucleotides in length. Their secondary structure includes four short double-helical elements and three loops (D, anti-codon, and T loops). Further hydrogen bonds mediate the characteristic L-shaped molecular structure. tRNAs have two regions of fundamental functional importance: the anti-codon, which is responsible for specific mRNA codon recognition, and the 3' end, to which the tRNAs corresponding amino acid is attached (by aminoacyl-tRNA synthetases). tRNAs cope with the degeneracy of the genetic code in two manners: having more than one tRNA (with a specific anti-codon) for a particular amino acid; and 'wobble' base-pairing, i.e. permitting non-standard base-pairing at the 3rd anti-codon position. Lineage: Eukaryota; Fungi; Ascomycota; Eurotiomycetes; Onygenales; Onygenaceae. The record is from Rfam.
GGUUCUAUGGUGUAGCGGUUAGCAUAGCGGAUUCUGAUUGAUUUCGGAGUCUUCCGUUGACCCCGGUUCGAUUCCGGGUAGGACCU